UUCGUGGUCGGUGGUACAGGUGGUGCAUGGCUGUCGUCAGCUCGUGUCGUGAGAUGUUGGGUUAAGUCCCGCAACGAGCGCAACCCUUGUCCCGUGUUGCCAGCAGGCCCUUGUGGUGCUGGGGACUCACGGGAGACCGCCGGGGUCAACUCGGAGGAAGGUGGGGACGACGUCAAGUCAUCAUGCCCCUUAUGUCUUGGACUGCACACGUGCUACAAUGGCCGGUACAAUGAGCUGCGAUACCGCGAGGUGGAGCGAAUCUCAAAAAGCCGGUCUCAGUUCGGAUU
Molecule: non-coding RNA, 287 nt
Filed under: Streptomyces afghaniensis 772
Lineage: Bacteria; Bacillati; Actinomycetota; Actinomycetes; Kitasatosporales; Streptomycetaceae
Description: Bacterial small subunit ribosomal RNA
Rfam family: Bacterial small subunit ribosomal RNA
Source: Rfam by way of RNAcentral